CGCAGCCGCGGUAAAACGUAGGUGGCAAGCGUUGUCCGGAAUUAUUGGGCGUAAAGGGCUCGCAGGCGGUUUCUUAAGUCUGAUGUGAAAGCCCCCGGCUCAACCGGGGAGGGUCAUUGGAAACUGGGAAACUUGAGUGCAGAAGAGGAGAGUGGAAUUCCACGUGUAGCGGUGAAAUGCGUAGAGAUGUGGAGGAACGCCAGUGGCGAAGGCGACUCUCUGGUCUGUAGCUGACGCUGAGGAGCGAAAGCAUGGGGAGCGAACUGGAUUAGAUACCCCCGUAGUCCCUGUCUCUUAUACA
This 301-nucleotide ribosomal RNA is filed under the name uncultured bacterium. Its description in RNAcentral is "partial 16S ribosomal RNA". It matches the Rfam family "Bacterial small subunit ribosomal RNA", at positions 510 to 808 of the family's 1533-position model. The record is from RNAcentral.